Molecule: ribosomal RNA, 499 nt
Filed under: uncultured bacterium
Lineage: Bacteria
Description: partial 16S ribosomal RNA
Rfam family: Bacterial small subunit ribosomal RNA
Source: RNAcentral
GAUGAACGCUGGCGGCGUGCCUAAUACAUGCAAGUCGAGCGAACAGACGAGAGUGCUUGCACUCUCUGACGUUAGCGGCGGACGGGUGAGUAACACGUGGGUAACCUACCUAUAAGACUGGGAUAACUUCGGGAAACCGGAGCUAAUACCGGAUAAUAUUUAGCUUCGCAUGAAGCAAUAGUGAAAGACGGUUCUGCUGUCACUUAUAGAUGGACCCGCGGUGUAUUAGCUAGUUGGUGAGGUAACGGCUCACCAAGGCAACGAUACAUAGCCGACCUGAGAGGGUGAUCGGCCACACUGGGACUGAGACACGGCCCAGACUCCUACGGGAGGCAGCAGUAGGGAAUCUUCCGCAAUGGACGGAAGUCUGACGGAGCAAUGCCGCGUGAGUGAAGAAGGUUUUCGGAUCGUAAAACUCUGUUGUAAGGGAAGAACAAGUACGUUAGUAACUGAACGUACCUUGACGGUACCUUACCAGAAAGCCACGGCUAACUACGUG